UCCGACUGCUAUCCGGGUAAGGCUAAGCCAUGCAAGUUGAAUGGAAUUGCUAAUUCCAUAGCGCACUGCUCAGUAACAAGUGAUUAACUUACCCUUAGGUGGAGCAUAACCUCGGGAAACUGAGGCUAAUUCUCCAUAGUUAGAUUUUCCUGGAAUGGUGAUCUAUCGAAAGAUAUUCCGAAAUGCCGGAUGUUUGCCUAAGGAUAGGAUCGCUCUCGAUUACGGUAGUUGGUGAGGUAAUGGCUCACCAAGCCUCUGAUCGAUAAGGGCCGUGAGAGCGGUAGCCCUGAGAUGGAUACUGAGACAAUGAUCCAGGCCUUACGAGGCGCAGCAGGCGCGAAACCUUUACAAUGCACGAAAGUGUGAUAAGGUUACCCGGAGUGCUCAGAAUUAAAUUUUGAGCUGUUAUGGGUGCGUAAAUAACCCCAUGAGAAAGGAGAGGGCAAGGCUGGUGCCAGCCGCCGCGGUAAAACCAGCUCUUCAAGUGGUCGGGAUUUUUAUUGGGCUUAAAGUGUCCGUAGCCGGUUUAGAAAGUUCCUGGUCAAAUCUGGCAGCUUAACUGUCAGGUCGCUAGGAAUACUACUUUACUAGAGGGUGGGAGAGGUCAGAGGUACUCCAGGGGUAGCGGUGAAAUGCGAUAAUCCUUGGGGGACCACCAGUGGCGAAGGCGUCUGACUGGAACACGCCUGACGGUGAGGGACGAAAGCCAGGGGAGCGAAUGGGAUUAGAUACCCCGGUAGUCCUGGCUGUAAACGAUGCGUGCUGGGUGUUGGUAGGGCUAUGAGCCGUAUCAGUGCCGUAGGAAAACUGUUAAGCGCGCCGCCUGGGAAGUACGCUCGCAAGAGUGAAAUUUAAAGGAAUUGGCGGGGGAGCACCACAAGGGGUGAAGCCUGCGGUUC
RNAcentral lists this ribosomal RNA (899 nucleotides) under uncultured archaeon. RNAcentral's name for it is "bacterial SSU rRNA". It matches the Rfam family "Archaeal small subunit ribosomal RNA", at positions 21 to 903 of the family's 1478-position model. The record is from RNAcentral.